UACGUAGGUGGCAAGCGUUAUCCGGAAUUAUUGGGCGUAAAGAGCGCGCAGGUGGUUGAUUAAGUCUGAUGUGAAAGCCCACGGCUUAACCGUGGAGGGUCAUUGGAAACUGGUCGACUUGAGUGCAGAAGAGGGAAGUGGAAUUCCGUGUGUAGCGGUGAAAUGCGUAGAGAUAUGGAGGAACACCAGUGGCGAAGGCGGCUUCCUGGUCUGUAACUGACACUGAGGCGCGAAAGCGUGGGGAGCAAACAGGAUUAGAUACCCGUGUA
This 269-nucleotide ribosomal RNA is filed under the name uncultured prokaryote. RNAcentral's name for it is "partial 16S ribosomal RNA". It matches the Rfam family "Bacterial small subunit ribosomal RNA", at positions 524 to 792 of the family's 1533-position model. The record is from RNAcentral.